RNAcentral lists this ribosomal RNA (414 nucleotides) under uncultured bacterium. Its description in RNAcentral is "bacterial SSU rRNA". It matches the Rfam family "Bacterial small subunit ribosomal RNA", at positions 30 to 444 of the family's 1533-position model. The record is from RNAcentral.
AUUGAACGCUGGCGGCAUGCUUUACACAUGCAAGUCGAACGGUAACAGGGAGCUUGCUCCGCUGACGAGUGGCGAACGGGUGAGUAAUAUAUCGGAACGUACCCAAGAGUGGGGGAUAACGUAGCGAAAGUUACGCUAAUACCGCAUACGAUCCAAGGAUGAAAGCAGGGGAUCUUCGGACCUUGUGCUCCUGGAGCGGCCGAUAUCUGAUUAGCUAGUUGGUGAGGUAAAGGCUCACCAAGGCGACGAUCAGUAGCUGGUCUGAGAGGACGACCAGCCACACUGGAACUGAGACACGGUCCAGACUCCUACGGGAGGCAGCAGUGGGGAAUUUUGGACAAUGGGCGCAAGCCUGAUCCAGCAAUGCCGCGUGAGUGAAGAAGGCCUUCGGGUUGUAAAGCUCUUUUGUCAGGG